This is a non-coding RNA of Pangasianodon gigas (Mekong giant catfish), 72 nucleotides long. NCBI's taxonomy places the organism in Eukaryota, Metazoa, Chordata, Actinopteri, Siluriformes, Pangasiidae. The record is from the annotation of a GenBank genome assembly.
ACUCUGGUGGACUAGUAGUUAGGCCACAGCUCUCUCACCACUGCGGCCUGGGUUCGAUUCCUGGCCAGGGAA